CUCACUGUUCUCUUGCUGCAACAUCAGGGGCACGCCCCGCUUCCCCUCACUUCCUGUUUGCCUCACUUCCUGUUUGCCUCACUUCCUGUUUACCAUUGCUAACAGGGUCACUGUUGGGUGUCCAUAGCCAGAGAGCUGAGCCGCUCGCUGACUGCUGUAUGUCCAGUUCGAGCCGUGAGCCGCUCGCGAGCUGUUACUGAAGCUGUGGGCCUCCGGUGGUGGGGACUGGUGUCUUCAGGUGGUGGGAACCCCUUCCUGUGUGGCGUGCUGCUCAUCCCCUGGUUGUUUUUUUUUUUUUUUUUAAAUUCUUCACUCAGGUGUGUGUGUGUAUGUAUGUAUGUAUGUGUGGGUGUGGGUGUGCGCGUGUUCACGUGUGAGUGGGGUGAUUUCUCUUGGGCUCCCUUGUGAUGCCCGUUGGCCCAAACCUCCACCAGAGAGCCCCCAGCUCUGAUUAGUCCCCAAACCCGUCAUUUAACAAUCUCGUGUGAAUGGUUGUUUUUUUUCUUUUUCUUGGUUUUAAACUGAGUAUUUUCGGUAUUAAAUAAAAUUUGUAUUUUUUUGCCUGCACUGGAACCAUGUCUCCUGCCUCAUCAGUAGAACGAACCUGAGUUGCCU
Molecule: long non-coding RNA, 615 nt
Organism: Amphiprion ocellaris (clown anemonefish)
Lineage: Eukaryota; Metazoa; Chordata; Actinopteri; Pomacentridae
Source: Ensembl